Molecule: ribosomal RNA, 497 nt
Filed under: uncultured bacterium
Lineage: Bacteria
Description: partial 16S ribosomal RNA
Rfam family: Bacterial small subunit ribosomal RNA
Source: RNAcentral
GAUGAACGCUGGCGGCGUGCCUAAUACAUGCAAGUCGAGCGAACAGACGAGGAGCUUGCUCCUUUGACGUUAGCGGCGGACGGGUGAGUAACACGUAGGUAACCUACCUAUAAGACUGGGAUAACUUCGGGAAACCGGAGCUAAUACCGGAUAAUAUUUCGAACCGCAUGGUUCGAUAGUGAAAGAUGGCUUUGCUAUCACUUAUAGAUGGACCUGCGCCGUAUUAGCUAGUUGGUAAGGUAACGGCUUACCAAGGCAACGAUACGUAGCCGACCUGAGAGGGUGAUCGGCCACACUGGAACUGAGACACGGUCCAGACUCCUACGGGAGGCAGCAGUGGGGAAUCUUCCGCAAUGGGCGAAAGCCUGACGGAGCAACGCCGCGUGAGUGAUGAAGGUCUUCGGAUCGUAAAACUCUGUUAUUAGGGAAGAACAAACGUGUAAGUAACUGUGCACGUCUUGACGGUACCUAAUCAGAAAGCCACGGCUAACUACGUG